Molecule: ribosomal RNA, 351 nt
Filed under: uncultured bacterium
Lineage: Bacteria
Description: bacterial SSU rRNA
Rfam family: Bacterial small subunit ribosomal RNA
Source: RNAcentral
GGGCCCGCACAAGCGGUGGAGUAUGUGGUUUAAUUCGAUGCAACGCGAAGAACCUUACCAGGGUUUGACAUCCUGCGAAUCUCUUGGAAACGAGAGAGUGCCUUCGGGAACGCAGUGACAGGUGGUGCAUGGCUGUCGUCAGCUCGUGUCGUGAGAUGUUGGGUUAAGUCCCGCAACGAGCGCAACCCACGUCGUUAGUUGCCAGCAUUUAGUUGGGCACUCUAGCGAGACCGCCGGUGAUAAACCGGAGGAAGGUGGGGAUGACGUCAAAUCAUCACGGCCCUUACGUCCUGGGCUACACACGUGCUACAAUGGCCGGUACAGAGGGCAGCCACACCGCAAGGUGGAGCG